Non-coding RNA from Coturnix japonica (Japanese quail), 15469 nucleotides. NCBI's taxonomy places the organism in Eukaryota, Metazoa, Chordata, Aves, Galliformes, Phasianidae. The record is from RefSeq and is a predicted model, not a curated record.
CUGCCAGAGGUCACUGUCAAAAGCAGGAUCCCUGUGUAGCUGAUCUUGGUCUGCUGUGACUGAAGGAAAGGACUGAAGCACGAAGACGUACAUCACAUCAUGAGCUGGAGAAAGGGAGAGAGGAGUGAUGUGGCAGGGUGCUGAGGAAGGGCAAUGUGUCAGUUAUGGUGAGAACUGGGGAAAAAAGGAGAGCUGUGAGAGACACUGAUCAAAUAACAUAAAGUUUAGGAGAACACAAAGACAGCGAGGCCAUGGAAGUGACAGAUCUGCCUAACAACCUAAGAUGUACAGAAGUACAAUCCUUUUGUUGCCCAGUGUUCAUUGAGUUAUUGCACACCCAAUCUUCUUUCCACUGCGGUACAGCAAAUUAUACAUAUGUUCCAGGUUUAUGCUUGAUGCAGGACACCAUGCAGAAUAUCACACGAGCAUGCAAGGCUAACAGGCAGCUUUAGUCCAAAGCACUGCUCUUUAUGUGGCACAAAGUAAUAGCUGCUGUUGUAAAACAUAGUAGAGCCUGUGACCUGCUGAUCUGUUUCUCCAGUGCUAACCUAGUAGCUAAAAUAACCCAGUAGGAUCUUCAGGCAAAGUGCUCCAGAACUGAUAUGGAAAUGCUGAAGAGUCAGAACCUUAUUUCCCUUUAUUCAUCUUCCAGGCCUCGUGCUGCCUGGCUCAUGUCAUGAAGAAGAAAGCCAGUGCUAAUGAAAGGAUGGAGAUCCAGGAGGAUAAAACCUUCUUGCCAUCACAGAUUCUCUUUGUCAAGCGAUAGCAACUUGUUCAACUAGUUGUACAGCAGGCUCAUGCUCUCCUGAAGUGGUUUCUUUUCCAUCAACGGUUGAUUGUUACCCCUUAGAGCAUAACAAAACCAUAACACCUCAGAUGUUACUUGCUGGUGGCAUGACAGAUGCUGUUGCUGUUGUAAUCAGCAUGACAUGCAGGGGUGGUGCUAGCUCACUAAAAUUAGAAAGAACUGAAGGCUCACCCUAAAGUACAAACAUUGUUAUUAUGUGACUUGCUUGUUUUUGUCAUUUAACUAGCAAUUGUCCCAUCAGAACAGGGAUAAUGCAUGGCAGAUGAAGAACAGUGAUUUUAUUGAACUCUCUGUGCAGGUGACUCAUGUUUUGCACUAUUUGCUUUUUUUGUUGUUGUUGUUUUUGGUCAAUUUAAUUUAUUGUAAAAGACCAACUGCUGUCCUACCAGGCGUGCCAGGGGAGGAAAUGUGAGAGCACACAAAAUGCCACAAAAAUCUUCAGUUUGGAAUUGUUUCACGCACUUAAGGACAUUCCUGCUGGCUUGCUUUGAAAAGUUAACUUUACCUCCACACCAAUUCGCUCUCACCUCUGAUGAAAUGCAUCCAGCGCCUCCAUUUUUCUGCUUUCCCAUUCUCAGUGAAUUCUCACUCUGUGGGAAGUCUAAGGGGGAGAGAGUUGGUCAGAGUGGAAAAUUAAGGUGACAUUAUAAAGCCUCCUCAUGAAAUGCAUCAGUGACAGUCACGUCUCAAAACUCCAUGUGAGCUGACAGCCACUGGAGGGUGGGGAGCGUGUGGAGGUUUGACUUGUGGAUAAAUCAUGAAGAGAAAAAUAAAACUUUCCCAGAAGGAGAGCUGCCAUGAAUGCUUGCAAAGUAGUUUAUUUGCUCACCACAGUGUUGUUUUUUUUUUACAGUUACUUGAAAAUGUGGGGUUUUUCCAGUUCUUUUUCUUCCUAAGUAAGAAAUCUUGUUUGAUUACUAACACAUACCUGAUGCAAAAGAACAGAAAGACUUGCUUUAAACAUGCCAUAUUAAUGUUUCCUGCUGGUACUCAUAUCCUCUUCCCCCUAUGUAACUAAUAUCCCAUGAGUCUAAUACUGAGGCAUUAGCUUAACUGCUGUGCAGUUAACAAAAUAGUGACUUGGGGAAAGUACUGACAUGCAGAGAGAAUAGAGGGAUGUUCAUUCAGUUCUGCCCCAACUCCUACAUCUGCUGUUAUGACUAUGGGGAGGAAACCAUUUUUGACAGAAAAAGAGGGCAGAGAAGCUGUAGGUAAUUGAGGACAUGGCAGGGAAGGCAAGGAAGAAAUUGUAUGAAGAGCUGAUGUCAAUGGCAUGCGAAUGACACGGAUGCUUCUACAGAGAUGACUACCAUAAAAUGCAGUGCUCAUUCCAUCAGACAGUGGAGACGGCGUCAUCCAAGUUGCUUGACAAGCUGUUCUUAAAUAGCACACUUGAAAUUUGAAUGUUGACAGCUAGGAAUAAAACAGAACAAAUCUCUUGACCAUGAAAUACAGAAGAUAAGGAACUCAAAUCACUAAAUAUGGUACUAAUACAUUAUUUGUGGAAUCCUAGAAAAACGGGAAAGGAAAAAAAAGGAGAGAAGGGGGAGGAAACCUCAAUUUCCUGAUGCUGUGUAGGAGGGGCUCUGGGUCUUCUCCAAUGAAGACGGGUUAUUACAGAUGGACUUUUACCCAACCUUAGUGAGCUGCUGUGCUGACAGUGACUGGAGAAAAAGAUAAAAAAGAAAAUAUCCCUGGAAAGAGCUGUGCUGUGUUCAUUGGAUAUUGCUGUGUGUCCUUGCUUCUCAUCUGCUAGUUGGAAAGGAGUGCCAAACAAAAGCCUUUUUGUCAUGAAAAUCACCCACCAACCUCUGCCAGCUGUCAGUCAGAGGAACAAUAAGUGUGAGAGUCGAACAUGCCACCCACCAAAAACAUGUAUGUGAGCUUUAGUUAGAGGAUGAAGAAAGAAAUUUGCACUCGCAAUAGUACAACACAACAGCGUGGAAACAGCUCUGCCAGUGCAGCUCCUUUCCCCCACCCAGUGAGGUGAUGGGACCAUCUGGAUUUAUCUGGGUUCAAGUUUUCAAGGGCACAGUUCCCAUCAACACCACAAAACGGAAAUCAUUUGUUCCCAGACCUGAUUGCAACACAAGUCGUAACUGAGUCCUUGACUGUUACGGUCUAGAUUGGGCCAUAGGCUAAUUUGGGAUGAACCGAGAAUAUAGAUGGGAACAAAUAAGAGAGAGGAAUGUCAUAGCUUGCAACUAAAUUCAGCUACUGCUCAUAAACAAGAAAUGGAAAUCAAAAUCCCCAGGCAGGCACAAAGGGUUUUGUGAAGCUGUUCUUGUUCACAUGAUGCAAUCUUAAGGUUUGAUGCCACCAGAAGGAAUGACUUUUCACCACUUCCUUUCUCCUUCCUGCUGCCAGCUGAUAUGGUUGGAUACUGAAAAGUCCCCAGUGACGCUACACCCUACUCACAUGUCAGCAUGACAACCCCAAACAUGGGAGAUGACACCAUGGCAAGUACACUGGAUUAUGCCAAAGAGUGACCUUUAGUACAACAGUCGGCACCUGGACCUGUGAUUUUACAGGUGGUACUACUAUGUUGCUACUGCAGUUCAGUUUGUUUCCUCUGUGUAAUCUUCUAAUGUUUCACAUGGAAGUUCAUCUCUGAGGAUCCUGCACUGAUCUGCCUGGUAUCGCUCUGCCUCCUGCACACUGCUUUCACAAUGCGGACACAGAGCAGCUCCUAUGGUGGGCACAGGAGCCAACCAUACAAAAAACGAAAAGCAAAGACUCUAUGGAAAGGACUUGUAACUACAAGGAAAAUUGAAAAGGCAAAUGAGAGAGAAAAAAGGUCGAUCAGAAAUCCAUCUCCAGAGAUCGCAAGAAAAAUCUAAGAUUCCAAGUUGCGUUUUGAGGAAGCUUUAAAGUAGACUUCUCCAUCCUGUGAGAUGACCCUGAGCAUCGGUAAUGAUCUGCGGGAGGCAGGGGAGAGGGAAGAAGACUGCUCAAUGGGAGGCACUGCAGCCCUUCUUGAAGGGCCCCUCAUCCCCAUCCUGCAGAAUCUGAGUUCCUGAAGUGGGCACAGCCAUUACAGAGCGGGCAAUGGGAUGUACAGCUUUGUACAUCAUCUUAAGAGAGAUGUAAGUUAAGACUGCUCUGGUCUUGUUCCCUCCUUGAAAACAACAUUAGCGCUGAUGUGCUGCAAAGUGAGUCAGUUUGGAAAAGUGAGUUGUCGAAAAAGUAAUGCUGCAAGGCAAAAAAAGAAAGUAAUUAUUUCCUUAUAUGCUUGCCUUCCAAUAGCAGCAAUGCCAACUAGCAGGAUGUGUGGCCAUGGCUAAGGAGAAGGUGGACCCCUUCUUUCCUUCUCAGAAGGGCUCUCACCCUCCCCUCGAGGGAGAAUAUCAAAGGGGAGGAUAUAGCCUACAAAUCCUCUAUCUUAAAGAAAGGGGACCUUUGCACAGCCCACACCUCUGAAUCAAAGGGAACAUCUUCAUUCCCUUCCUCCCUGUUGUCAGGCUAUUGGGAAGUAGUUGACACAGCCCUUAUCAAAGGAAAUGUGGUCUUCUCUUCUGCUUGUCUACUCAGUGUUAUUAUGUCAACAGAGAUCAAUAAGGCGACACAAAUCCUAUCCUAUUACCAGUAUUCAGCAGCAAAUGAAGCACCCUUGAGUUCAGCAUAUUAUCAUUUCAUGCAGUCUACAAUUAAAGCUUUAGAUAAGAUUAAUUGCUUUCAAGGUGAGCCUUUACUAUUGUCUCCUUAUAAUGGAGUCUGGAUCCAGUGGAGCCUGGCUUUAUGUCACUGGAAGAAAUCACAAACAAUUUUGCACUUGGAUUGAAAAGAUUUUUUUAACAGGCCUUGUGUUUCUUCUCUUAAAUUUCUCUUGAGAGAAAAGUAACUCCCUGGCAAUAAGCAUAACCAGCACCAAUGGUGAAAGUGGUUAAGAAUUACCUACAGCUGGUAAUAGUAAAUUUACUUUUAGUUCCUCCAAGUAUAAAUAUUUUAGGCACCCUGUUGUUCUUCUGAAGCCCCAGAUCAGAUGAAAUGCAGCAGUACUCCAAAAGAAAGCAGAUGUAAGUGCUGGACGGAGUGACCAGAUUCCAGCACCUAUUUCUGACAGCUCUUUUCCAUACAAAAAGCUGAGAGAAGGGGGAGGACGGGACCCUACAUUCCACCACAAAACACAGCUGCUUAUUUAUCUAUUUGUCAUUCUGCUGCAGUUGAGAGUUAUGCCCAGAUGAAAGAAACCAGCUGGGUGCAACAAAAGCACUGGGCACUCUGCUGAUGGAGGCACUGCAAAGCAAAUCCCAGCUUGCUACAAGGAGUGAGAAUUGUGUGGGGUGGAGGAGAUGCCACUGUGGCUCCUAAAGGGAUAACGGUGAAAGAAUUGAGCAGGAUCUCUGGUCUGCUACUAUUCGUACACCUCAACCACAGCUUUGAAGAGAAUGGAUAUUUGAGUAGCAUAGUUAUGCCUGGCCUUACAAUAUACGGGCCAGGAAGCAUUAACUUGGGGUGUAAGUGCUAAUCUUUCCCACAAGGGAAAAUCACCCCUGUUUUGAGGUUCCCUCCUGCCUAUAUUUUUCAGUCCUGCCAACUAGAAACCUGUGCUCUUGUUAUUCACUCUUGAGGGUCUUAGAUAUUGCUCUGAUUCUCAGGAAGAUGGGCUUUCUGGAAAGCACCUCGUAUUACAAGAUUCAUGGUAAAAGCUUUGUUUAAACUGCUAAAUUGUAACACAGGAAAGCACAGGAGUUAGGGGGGAAAUGUGCAUCUCCCUCUCUGUCCUUUCCCAUUCUGUGAUGAGCUCCUUUCCCACUCUGUAAUGAACUCUGCUUCCUAGUUACAAGAUCACGAAGCAGUUUUCUUCUCAUUGCUGAAAUAUCAUCAAACCCUCCUCCACAACACUGAAAAUGUUUUGAAUUAUAAAAUGAAGGGUGAGGUUUUCCAAGCGUGGCUGGGGGAGAAGAAUGACUUGUCCCCAAUAUGAUGAGAAGGAACAGGGUCUCUGCCUCAUCAGGGCAGCCCUCCUUGGGGGAUACCAUAGCUGGGACCCUUCAGUCUGUUGUGCACGGAGCAGUGAGAGGAUAUCGGCUGUGGGUGCUGCUGUGCAUGGUUAGCAAAGGAUCUGUUUCAAAGACACAGAAUUCCCAAGCUGAUCUUCUGUGGGCAUCUGACUGCAGCUUCUUCAGAUACAAGUCAUCCCUUCAGUUAACAGCCCUACCUGACAAGGAGCUGAAGGGCUAAUAGGAUUUUGUGAGGCACUGGCAGCAUUGUUUUACUGCAGAUCUGAUUACACACUGAGCAUUCAUUUCAUGUAGGCUCCCCAUAGCAGGAGGUGUUUGUCUCCUGUGUGAGGACUGGCACAGCACUGUACCAUGCAGUCUGGUGUAGCUGAGUGGUUUGGUGCGAUCCAGAUCAGGAUUCCUGGGAAAGCUCUCUGCUUGUACCAAGCUUUUAGAUGACUUUCAGUCAACUGUCAGCCCACCUCACCAUGCCACCCAAACCACAUCCCUCAGUGACACAUCACUACCUUUCAAGAAUACCCCUGGGGAUGGUGACUCUCCCACCACCCUGUGCAGCCUACACCACUGCCUCGCUGCUCCUUCUGAGAAUAAAUUUUUCCUAAUGUCCAACCUGAUGUUGCUAAACUAAGGUUAUGCAGGAUAACAAGAAUAGGUCUUACAAAACAACAAGAUAAAAAUGAUGGUAGCUGUAACAGGCGUUUGAUGGUGAAGGAGAUUUUAAACAGUCCAGAUAUAAAGCGUAUCCUUGGGGCCCUGGCAAGGAUGCAAACUUCUCUCCCACACAACCUCAGUCACUCUUGGAAAGCCAAGUUCUGAAAUUUUAAAAGGCAAAAAUAUUACAGCAACAGCAACAACAAACAUGCGAAUCAGAUGUUAAAUGACUGCUAAUGAUCUUAUCAAUGUGUUGUGUAAACAGGAGGAAGAGGACAGAAAGAAGCAUUCAACAUUCCUCGGGGUUUUGCAGGGAGGUUUCAGUUUUAUAAUGGCUUUGUGGUGUUCAGGGGAGGCAGGCAUAUGGACUCUUUCAGCACAAAAGAAGCCAACUUGAGAAUCAAGUAGCAAGAUCCUGUGGGAAGUUAGGGUUUUUGUCUAGACAGCUAAUUACAGCUUUUUGCAGAACCCAAAUGCCUGGGAGCACCUACAGCAGAUUGCAGCAUUGGUGGGCAUCCCAGCAAGGUCCCCAUGGGCGGUCGCAUACUCAUGCCAUGGCACUGUGUCCCUCCUGUAGGCCAUGCUGGGAUGAGUGGAAAUGUGACAGUCACGUGGAUGUGUUGUUUUCUCAGUGCACUGCAAGUCUCUCUGUAGACCGUUCCAUCCAGUUAUUCAACACUGCUCCCUAGCAUUAAGCUUUUCAGGCCUUUUCCCCAUUGACUCUUCUCUUUCACAGCCCUAAAAGCGAUAAAGGUGUCAUUUUAUUUUUUGAGGGCACUACAAGGUUGGAAAAAAACCUUUGUGUUUGUCAGCACGACUUCAUUUUACAACUGUUCCCGAGCUGUAGUCUUUAUAACUGGUCGAUGGAUUCUAAUUAAAUUGUUUAGCUGACAGUUAUUGGCUUUGUGUGGGGAUAUGCUGAGCCCAUGGAAAAUCUGAAAGUUGUCAAAGGUCAGCAGAGAAUAACUGACUUGCUAGGCAUGCCGUGUAUAGAACGUACUUAAAUACAAAUAUUAAGUAAUGCAGAUUGUUUUGUACAAAUGAGGGUGCUUUUCUGUGUUGGGCUGCUUUAUUUCUUCUGUUUUUAAAAGCAAAGCACAUCUCAUUUGCUGCAGAAAACAAAAGCUUGUUGGGAUCAUUACAGCUAGUACUGCAUCCAGGCCGCUGUUUGACCAUGUUUCCUUUGAAGAUGAAGCUGGUUCCAGAGGGUGCAUUGGCCUUGGGUCCUGAUAUUCAUCCUGUGGUUGUGGCCUAUGCUGUGACCACAGCAAUGAAAUUACUGGAGGGUUUUGUAGGAUGUUUUAACCUGGCUUUGCAGAACUUCCCAUCAAAAGAUAAAACCUAGCAAGUCAAAACGGAGCGUAAUCUGCUGGAUUAAUGAACUGAAGAGGGACUUGGAAGCCCUAAAGCCAACAUGGAGGAGAACCUUACUCUGGAAUUGGAAUCACAGACAGGAGCAAGCAGGGAUGGAAGGAGGAAAAGCUUUUCCCGCUAUCAGUUGCAGCAGGCUGUGGGGUUGGCUCCUAACGGCAUUUCAUUUCUGCGUGCUGUUGGUGCUGAAAAUAACCCUGCUAAAAAAAAAACCACAGGUUGUGGUUUGGCGUUGGGUGGAUUUUGUGUGCGCAGCUCCCAAGCCUGGCCCCACCGCCACUUGCAGGAAAAGCGAUCUGGGGAUGGGGUAAGCAGCAGGGGAAGGAGCUGGCAAGGGGUGUGCUGAGCCGCUGGGGGAUUCUUCAAGCCCUGUAUGAGUAAGCUGUGUCACACUGUGCAGCCUGGCUCUCAUUUUCUUUUCCUGCUACAGCAGUGUGUCGCCUGCUUUGCCUUGCUCUCACCAGUAGAGAUGUGGUAGCCCAUUGGCCUUCCUGCUAAUGUGGAAACAAGUUUAGCUUUCAUUUCUCUGCUGGCUGCUGUGAUAAGCAGCCCCCAAAAUGUUUCCAUUGCAGCCAUCAUGUCAGUCCAGGCCUUGAUGCAAUUGAACUUUGAAGACACUUAGCCCUCCUUGUAACACAGCUUUAUUUUGGUCCUGUGUGGUUUAAGGUACCAGACUCCCACUGGAGUUUACCUAAGGACUUGGGAUCUCACACCAUGUUUAGUGAUAUAUGGAUACUUUGAAAAAAACAUUGGUUAAUUUUUGCUUUUCUUACUUAAAGAAAACCUGAGGUCAGAAACGGAGCUUUCUCAGGAAAUCUGUGGCCAGAGCAGGAAAGAGGACCCAGGUGUCCUGAGCUCUUAAUGUUCAACCUUUCCUCCCCUGCCCCCAGGCUGCCUGAGAGCAUGUUUGGAAGGAUGCCUGCUUGCUCAGAUACGGUGCAGACUUUCCUUCUUCUCUCAUCACAGCUGGAAACAUCUAGGAGGUCCUUAUAUGCUCAGCCGGAACACAUCACUCUGAGUACGUAGAUGGAACGUCAGGACCAAGACUGAGUGUGUGGCACCGAGAAGAGAAAUCCCAUCUGUGCUGUGGAGCAGGAGCUCAGUUUUGGUUGUGAUUUCUCCCUACCAGCUGGUCUGAGUAAUUACAUAAUGUAUCAAGCCAAGACAUCCUGCUUUAUGCAACAAGUAAAUUCAUUUACAACCAUCUUUUAAAGCAAAGAAGAUAUACACUGCAUGUCCUCCUUUAACUGCACUACUUUUAAGAGUGCAAUCAACAAGCUAUUAAUUAGCUGGCUAGCAGAACAGUCUCAGAGGAGGCUGUGCCUGUUUUUCUUCUGCCCAGGACCUGUUCUGGUAUCAGGAGGUGAUGGGGUAGGUGCCUGCUGUGGCACAUGACCUUUCUCAAGGUGUGAACAGAGCUUGCUUGGUUGCCUCACACCCAUCACAGGAACUGCAGGCUGAGUGCCUGGGAACAGAUUGCUUUCCUGGUUGCAUCUGUGCUGUUUCUCCCCAUGUGGACUGGAAAAUGUGUAUGGGACAGGCUCCAUACAGGGGAACAGGAGGGCGUUGCUGUAGGUAUUAACACUGGCAAAAGGGAAAGCCAGCACUGUAUCACUGCUCUCUUCUUGGAUCCAAGACAAGGUCUCACUGUAAGGUACAAAGGAAUAAGUCCAACCACAGCCACUGUCAGCUCUGCUUCCCCACAACCAGACACAGUAUGUUAUGAAGACAGAACCCUGGGGAAGCAAGAACUCCACCAGAGAGGGAACAGGUGGAGGAAACGUGAAAUACAUCCCAGCAAAUCCAUUAUGGACAGUAUUAGCACUUCAUCUGCAACGCAUGACAUUGUAUCACUGUUCCAGCUGCCGAAUCUUUGAAGUGCCUUCGGAAACUUGUUCAGAACUCUGGAGGAGGAUUUAGCUGCUGAAGCUCCCCAACCUGUUUCAGCAGGGGGCUGUGGGCAGUUGGCAGUUAUUGGCAGGACGAGGCUGAGGAGCUAAUGCUGGUGCUCACAGGAAGGAGGCAGGCUGACAUCGUGGGUUAGGAUUCCAAGGAAAUAUUAGUAAAGAAUAGUACAUUUGUCUUUUUCCCUGUAGAAUACACAGCAAGGAUGCAAAUCAACAUGCACACACACCUGUGGGUGAUUGACAGGUUGGGCUGUUAUUGCCUUAUCCCUUGCACCUGCUUGCAUAGCUGUGACACCCAGAUUUGACUCUUGGGGAUUUCAUGUGCUGUGAAGAUGCAUCUUAUGUUGGGUGAUAUCCUUGAAAAUCCCUGUGCUAAACAGAGCAAGAGCAAAGCUAAUAAGUGAGUGGGGGUGGAUAUUAAGAGGUCAAUAAGAAGGGAAGGGAAAAGCUUCUGGAUGCCAUUCAGGAUACGAUGGCUGGGUAGAGUCAGAAUGGGAAUAUUACAGAGGAACAAGCCAGAUCUAGUGCAAGUAGAAGCCUGGCUCUUUGGGGUCUAGUUGGGCCAGGUGGAGAUCCAGCCCUGCAGCACAGCAGAGAGAGCAGCUAAGUCAGUCUCAGCUUCAGGCUAGUUUAAUUUGUAUGGCGGAUGAUUUUUAUUUAUCAUGUGACUUGACACUAUAGCACUCACUCUGCGUGGUUAUCACCAGAGCAAUGGCAGCAGCGCAUGCCACAUUUUCUGCCUUUAGAAAUACAAAGCCUUGUCUCACAGAAGCUCAGACAUGCCCUGGCUGAUGGGAUCCGCAUCCUUUUGCGUGCUGGUUUAAAAAUAAUGCACGCACACACAGAGCAACAAGACAUGCUUUCCCCUGUUCCUGCAGCUUCCUGAGAGCACAGCCGGAUGUUUUUAGGCCGUGUUAGGGAUGGCCCAGGGAGAGGAGUCACAGUAGAGUUAGCAGGGAUGGGUCUGAUCACAGGACGUGGAUGGAGAAACGGCUAACAGCAGAUAGCAGAUCUGACUGCAGAUAGCAGUAUCAAAUUAUUACUCUGUGUACAAUGGUCUGCUGCAGAUUUCUGUGUCGUUGCACCGGUGCUGAGUGGUUGUAUUGCCACACACUAAAAAAAUCUGGCAAGAGGCUGUGCUGGUUUGAAACCCGACUCAAUGUUUUUUUGAGCCUGACUGAAAACAGAAGAAAGAAAAGAUGGUUGCCUGCAUCUGGAUCACACAUUGCUUGGGUUACAGCAGACAGGGCUCUUUUGUACUAGAGGAUUCUUGGGGCUGUCUGAGAUUCCAGACGUUGGUGACUUGUCCUUCACAAGCGUCUGUAUCAGAGACCUCAUCUAUGGUCAUCAUAGACAAACAUUCUCAAUGUUCAGUGAGUUGUGUGGUUACACAGAAUUUGCUCCUUAACAAAAACUGCUUUGAGAGGUGUUGUGCUGUAGCGUGUUCCUUCUUGCUUUGUGAGCGCGGUGCAAGACAUGACCAGCCAUGGUCCCUCACUGGGACUGACUUCCCGAGUUUGCCAGAUUGGAGAGCACAGAAGGAUGAAGAAGCAUUUCUCCUGGCUCAGCUGGCCAUCAAGACUCCCAUCAUCUGCUCAUUGAUUCUCAGCAUCCCAGACACCUGAGAGCUGUUUGUGAGUGCCCACAGAUGUCUGCUUGAUUGAUAGCUGAACUACUGAACACGCAGCACCACGAAGGCUGACACUGCCCGGCUUUUGCCACUGACCAACACAGCUGUGUCCAGCUCUGGUGAGUCACCUCGGUGAGCACUGUGCUCCUGCUGCUCACUGGGACCACAGCACUCAAAGGCCACCAGCCCAGUUUCGGUGCCCUGGUUUUCUUUGCUCGCCCUGCGGUUCCGCCCCACGCCCCACCCCACAGCGGUGUUAAUGAUGGGGUAGGGAUUGCUCUGGGCUGGUAGGAGGUGUGGGUCAUUCUGCCAGGGCAGUGAGCCGCGGUCAGUGGGACGCUGUGACACACUGCCCUGAGCUGCAGCUAUCAGGGCUGGACCGUGCUGCUGGGAGUCCAGUGACAGCGGGGGGAAGGUGCCCUCAGAGAGCUAAGCCAGUAGGUGAUUGGGAUCAGUUUUCCAGUGACAAGAUGGUUUUCUACUCCCAAACUCCAGGCCCAGCUCUGCAGCUGGGUUUAGUGCUGCUCAGCUCUGUGGCCAGCCUCAGCCCUUCCCCAGCGCAGGGAUCACUGCCAAAGCCCAGCACAGGGCAACCGCUGAGCUCCUCUUCUCCGUUUGAAAGCUUAUGUAAAAAAUGAUGAUAAGCUAAAUCUAGAUCUAUGCAGCAAUUAUGUGGGAUGCCAGACCUUGCACCUGUAGCAUAAUACAUAACAGAGCCAGCUAACUGCCUUGUCUAAUGAUUGCUCUGAACAGCACACAAAUCACAUUAUGGGGGGUGAGCUGAGAGCCAUUUUUCGUCCGAAGCUGAUGAGCUUGCAAAGACUUUCUUUGCCCCGUUCUCUCACACUGCAGGUUUGUUCUCUUCUCCUUGGAAUCCUUCCUGUUAUUUUUCUACCUUCCUGUCACAGGAUGCAAUGUUCAUUACAAUAAUAGAUCAAACUUUGAGUGGAAAAACUCCGCUUUGCAGUUGUCAUUAGGAUUUCCCAGUUUCAUUUCCUGCAACCCAUAAUGAGCAGGUGGAGGUUUUUGCAGGAUGCUUGGGUGGGAAAGAGAUGCCUAUAAACGUUAUCCCACCUUCACCUCUCAGCUGUCACCCUGAGGUGGGAUAGGCCAUCUCCUGAGGGACCUUGGCUUAGGAGCAUGGAUAACUGGAGAAGACCAGCACCUGAAUACCAGUCAGGCAACGGCAGAAGAUGACUCCAGCUCUCAUGAUGGAGAAGACAACUCCCACUCUCUCUGGGAACUUAAAAUGUCUGUAUUGAUUUCUUAACCUGGAAUGUGCUUUGGAAACUCUGUCUGGAAAGCCUGCUUUGUCUCUCUGCACCUAAAUACUUUAGAAGCGUGGUCAGAGAUGCUCCCAACGUGUGCUCUGGAUUCCCUGGUGAGAGACGCAGGAGGAAGUUUUGAGGUGGAAGAGCAGCAUCAGUGUCAGUUUGUUUGGAAGGAUUUUUGUGGACUGGACUUCUGUGGGUUUACUUGCUUCCUGUUACCCUUAUGUUAUCAGCAUGAAAAUAUUAAAUUGUGUGACCAAUGUAGCCAGUAAGACUGGCCACAGCUAUUAUAUAACGUCUGGUUGCUGUAAACAUCUCCAUGAUCAUUUCUUUGAUUGCAGUGCAAACAUAUCCUGUGCACAAUAUGUGGGUUACCAGGUAGAGUUAUGUCAUGAGUCAGGAUGAGCCAAUAUCAUAAGCAAAUGUUAAUGAAGGGUGGCAUUUUCAUUAGUUUCUCUGUAUUGACCUAUUUCACUUCCUAUCCAAGGCAGCAGCUGAAGAGAGCUGGCCUAAAUAGAUCAGCAUUCUGCAGCCCAGAAUUGUGAUACAGAGCUGGAGGGAGCACCGUUCUCCUGAGGGUGGCUGUUCUCAUCUGACACUAUGACAAAUAGUCCUAGGCUCCUUCUGUAUUAAAAAUAAAAGCCUUGAACUUGCAUAUUUCCUUAUGGAAAAAAUAGCUAUCUCAGGAUCCUGCUUAUACAACUGGAACAACUUUUGUUCUCCACCCCAUCUAAAGACAAGCAAAAGGCUUUUAUGUUCUCUAGGUUAUUAAUGAACAGGGCUUCCUCUGCUAAGAGGAUGUUUGGAGCACUGCUAAAAUCUCUGCUCAGGUCCCUUGAAUUGGGACAAGUGAUCUUACAUCACCUUCCUGAGCUAAUUGCCAGCCAUUAGAAAACACAUUUUUAGUAACACCUUUUGCUAAAUUAUUCCCUGCCUUUGCCUGCUUCAUCAUAGCACUUUUUUACAGGUAAACAGUUCUCUGCUCUCCAAGGAGUAGAGUUAAGUGCCUUUAUGACAUUUUAGAAAGGGAGGGACAUUAAUUUGUGCUCCCUGUUCUACCUUCCAUUUGAAAAAGGAAGGUAGUGGGGCAGUUUGUGAGGACUAGUGCUCAGAAGGAGGUCGUGUGAGGUGAUCUAACUUAUUAAAUCAAAGGAAAGUUGGACAAAGGAGUGACUUGCUCAGAGACAGAUAAAAAUUAUCCCAAACUGAAGGCAGAUUUGGUAACAAAGCCCUGGUCUGACAGCCAGUCCACCCUCUCUGCAAACAUCAUGCAGCAGGUAACAGAGCUAUGCUCAUGAAUCAUUGCCUUGUUUAUUUAAAAAAAGCCAACAAAUAUCUGACAGCAGUGAUGGGGUGACUGAGUGAGCAUCCAGCUGGCCUGCUGCAACCCGGGAAAGCCCUGCACAGCAGGGAGAGGGGAACAGCACCCAUUGCCUGCAGUGCCACAUGAGCUCUGGCAGAUGGGUUUUUUAGAGUCCAAGGAGUUUCUGUGCAACUGAGAAGCUGAAGUGGUUUGGAUUUUCCUACUCUGAAGCCUUCCUGUCUCUGUUCUCAUUUCACGUGUAAUUAAGGGAUUUUUUUUAAAGAAAGUACACCAGAGAAACCCUAACAACUGAGCCCUGCUGUGCAUAACACUGGGUCAACCCCAAGUGAUGCCGUGGAUGAAGAAACAUUUUUCCAUCUGCCUUUUCUCUGCUCACAUAGUAGUGUUUGUCCUUCUGCUUUGGCAUGUGGGCUAAGGGGAGCUCAAAGUGCCCCACGUAGCUGCCACCCCGGGGGGAAGCGUGGCUGUGUGCCAGCUGUGGGCUGCCUGGGCUGGGGUCACAGAGCUACAGUGUGAGGGCUGAGCUGGCUGAGCGUGUUCUGCGAGAGGCGGAUGCUCACCGGGGUUUGCUGCAGGGUGAGGUAGAGCUUUGUAUUGUGAGUGCACUGGGAAUCCCAGCCUGCACCACCCAGCUCGUGGAGGAUGCUGGAUCCAUCCUACACAGGCAUUACAAGCUACCACAACCUCCUCACACUGUGAUGCAAAGUCAUCUUGGCAAUAGCCCCAAAUAUUCUUCACAUUCACGUAUAAGCACUCCACCAUCACUUUGGAUUCUCCACUGCUGUGUACAAGAUUCUUGCAGAGUAUCCUGGGUUAUGAAAGCCUUAAGACAGAAAUGGUCUUUCGGAUCAGUGUUUAUCCAGCAUCUGGCUUCCUGCCAGUCUGGCCAAAGACUGGAGUCCCUUCAUAUUUCCACAUCAGAGAAAGGUUAAUCAUCACAACCCUCAGCCUCUUACAUGUCUAGGUGAUGAAUCCUUCCCACGCCUCUGUAGGACCAGUGCAUGUAGGAGACCAGUCUUGGGGUGUGAUGCCACAGUGCCCCAGUACCAAAAGUUCACAGACUGAAAACUCUGAGACUGCCCCUUUGCAUAGAUAGGGAAACUGAUAUAGAGGGAGGGGAGGAGACCACGUGCAUAUUACCAGAGAACUGCACUGGUUCAGCCUCUGUGCUCCAACCAGGUGUGUCAUAGUGAUGGACAUGCUAUGCCAUCCUAUGCCAUGCCAUCCCAACACCACCAAGCAGCCAGAGGCACACUGCUCCUGUGCAAAUGAAGCAGCAGCACAAUCAGGAAGAGUAGAAGAGCCUGAUUAAUCUGCUGUGACAGAGGCCCACCCAACAGGGCUUGGUCCCAGGAUCACUGGUAAUGCUGAUGGAUCAAUAGGGCCUUUGUACCCUUCCACCUCCCCCAGGUGCUCCCCUCCAUCUGACGGCAGCAAACAUGUUUUGAACAAAGCACAGAGGGUUGGCCCGCUCCCACUGGCCGGUGAGGUGCUAUGAAUUAGUUGGCAGGUUUUAAUCCAGUAAAGCCUAGUUAACACUGUC